GGGCCUUGGUCUAGGCGUUCCUAUGAUCCCAGGAUGAUGCAGAACUUAUUCUAUACUACAUGCCUCAGACGGUUUGAACGUUCUCAGUUGGCAUUCAAUAAGUAUCUACUAGGCACCAAGCACUAGGCUGGAUUCUGAAGAUUGGAGAUAAUUGAGACAUGAACCCCAAACCUUGAGGAGCUGAGAAACAGGUGUACAAAUGGACACAUGUUUUCUGUUUGCCGGUCAACCACUUCCCCAGCUCAGCUCCUGUGCCGUGUCACAUGCAGAGAACACGGACAAGAGAUUUCCAGCUUCUCUGGGAAAUUCAGAAGAUCUCUCAAAACACAGCCCAUAUGGCAUGGGUAGGAAUGGUGAGUAGGAGAGGGGCGGCUGCUAUCCCCAGGCCUGCUCUCCUGGCCCAGGACUUUCCCCACUGCAUACAAUGCAUGUGCGUGCAUUCACAGCUCACCUGUUUUAUGGAGAGCCUGACCCAGUGACCAGCUGACACUCAGGGACAGGAAGGCUGAGGGGUGAUUUUGCUACCCUCUAAUGGGCUUUCAUGGAGAAGCCAUGGCAGGGAGCAGGAAUUCCUGACUCCUUCAAGGGCUCUUCUAGCUGCACUAAGAAUCAAAUUACCAUGAGACAGAUUAACAGGAGAAAAUCAAAUUUAAUAGCGGACAUACAGGGAAUCCACACAGACGUGGAAAUUUCCAAGACGGUCAGGCAAAAUGGGGUAUAUGUGUCAUUUUGAGCUAAGGAGAAGGGGGUAGGGGUCUGGGACUUCAGAGGGAAGGAAUAUGAGAAGAAGAACAGAUAUUUGAUGAUUGGCUGUUUGCCUGGCUAUACAGAUGGCCACUCAGAUAAAAUUUAUCUCUGCUAAUAACCCUUAUUCUGGAAAGACCCUCCAGUGUAGAUUCUUCUAUGUAGUUAAGGGAAAAACAAAAGUUUCUCUUGAGCUUUAGGGUCUCACUUGCCUUCAGCUCAAAAUAAUCUACAUGCCAAAGUAGCCCAUUCUGGGGUGUGGGGAAACUGUCCCAAACCCUUUCAGCUCCAUCUGUUUAAGGAAAAUGGGCUUACAGCAAAGAAUGGGAAUGGGUAACUGGGGACAAUGAGUGUUUCCAAUUUCUUGGAAAUACUCUGAGAAGGAUGGAGUGCUAUUUUUGUCUCAGUGGUUUAAACAUUUGGUGGCCUUGAGGUAAGAAGCUAAACCACAUGAUAAAGAAGAGGUCGUAUGUGUGUAUAUAUAGAGACCAUACACACACACACACAAAGAUAUAUACAUAGAUAUACACAAUGGAAUACUACACGGCCAUAAAAAAGAAUGAAAUCUUGCCAAUGGCAGCAACAUGGAGGGUAUAAGGCUAAGUGAAAUAAGUCAGACAAAGACUUAUAUGAUUAUAAGACAAAUAUGUCUUAUAUGAUUAUAAGACAAAUAUGUCUUAUAUGAUUAUAAGACAAAUAUGUCUUAUAUGAUUAUAAGACAAAUAUGUCUUAUAU
RNAcentral lists this long non-coding RNA (1479 nucleotides) under Felis catus (domestic cat). RNAcentral's name for it is "lncRNA (ENSFCAG00000052514.1)". The record is from RNAcentral. Lineage: Eukaryota; Metazoa; Chordata; Mammalia; Carnivora; Felidae.